UAAUAGCGUAUAUUAAAGUUGUUGCAGUUAAAAAGCUCGUAGUUGAAUUUCGGCGUCCUUUUUAUGGGAUAGUCGGCGGGCAUUUGUUCGUCAGGCUGCCCGGGGGGCGUCAUACCGAGUCUAGUUCUGGCUCCUGUGACAGGGGGUCGUGACGGGGCUAGGCUCCUUUUACUUUGAGAAAAUCAGAGUGUUCAAAGCAGGCAAUGACUGCCUACUGAAUGUGUUAGCAUGGAAUAAUAGAAUAGGACUUUGGUCAUAUUUUGUUGGUUUUAGUGGCCGAGGUAAUGAUUAAUAGGGAUAGUUGGGGGCAUUCAUAUUUCAUUGUCAGAGGUGAAAUUCUUGGAUUUAUGAAAGAUGAACUACUGCGAAAGCAUUUGCCAAGGAUGUUUUCAUUAA
RNAcentral lists this ribosomal RNA (396 nucleotides) under uncultured eukaryote. RNAcentral's name for it is "partial 18S ribosomal RNA". It matches the Rfam family "Eukaryotic small subunit ribosomal RNA", at positions 592 to 976 of the family's 1831-position model. The record is from RNAcentral.